Molecule: ribosomal RNA, 600 nt
Filed under: Triticum aestivum (bread wheat)
Lineage: Eukaryota; Viridiplantae; Streptophyta; Magnoliopsida; Poales; Poaceae
Description: partial small subunit ribosomal RNA
Source: RNAcentral
AUGUCCCUCGCCGACGCGCUCGCCUCCAUCGGCCUCGGCUACGCCAUCGCCAUCGCGCUCGGCUUCCUCGUGCUCCUCGCCGCGAUCCUCCUCGCCUACCACUUCUGCUGCCGCCGCCGCGCCGCGGGCGCGCAGCAGCAGCAGCAGCAGCACCACUCCGGCCGCCACGGGGCCGCCUCCUCCUCCGCGUCCAGCUCGGGCCACAUCUCCAUCACCGUGCCGCGCUUCGUGUUCGUCGCCGAGGACGACUCCCCGGGCUCCUCCUCGCGGGGCGCCACCGGGUCCACCCCCGUCGGCCUCGACCCCGCCGUGAUCGCCUCCUACCCCAAGGCGCCCUUCGCCCGGGCUGCCGCCGCCGGCGAGCUCGCCUGCUCGAUCUGCCUCUGCGAGUACCGCGACGGGGAGAUGCAGCGCAUCAUGCCCGAGUGCCGCCACCGCUUCCACCUCAUGUGCCUCGACGCCUGGCUGCGCCGCAGCGCCUCCUGCCCCGUCUGCCGCAACUCGCCCAUCCCCACCCCCGUCACCACCCCGCUCAACACCCCGCUCUCCGAGAUCGUCCCGCUCUCCCAGUACGCCGCCGACCGCCGCCGCCACAGGUGA